Helianthus annuus (common sunflower) is the source of this 599-nucleotide long non-coding RNA. RefSeq lists it as uncharacterized. NCBI's taxonomy places the organism in Eukaryota, Viridiplantae, Streptophyta, Magnoliopsida, Asterales, Asteraceae. The transcript has 4 exons. The record is from RefSeq and is a predicted model, not a curated record.
AUAGAGGUUGAAAAGGCACUUGAUGAUGGCUAUAUCUAGCGAAAAUAUGGUGAAAAGUCCGUUCUUGGUUUCAAAUGCAUGAGAACCAGAGAUUCGUCUACAGCAACAGAGUCAGCCUCCAUAAACACUGAUAGUCAUUUUUAAGUUUCAAAAGUGUUGGCCUCUAGCAAAAUGAUGUGGGUUACUUCCUAAUCACAUGCAAGUGCUCUUUUCACACGUGGGGAAACAUAGAUAGAAACACAUUUUGGUACCUGAUAUAACAAAUCCUCUUGGUCAUUGGCACAAAGGCCAACUCAGUUUUCACAACAGACUGAAGUACUCCAAGGAGAAUUUGGUGAAAUAUGGUGAAUAGGCUGUAACUUAGGGAUGCUUAGGGUCCAGUUUGGUCAGUUUUGAUGAAAAUUCUUGGUCGGACCGCUAACUCGUAGAUAGACAUUUGACGCGUGUAUCCCUAUUAGCUAGAUCUUUGACACGCGUUAAGAGUAAAAGAGAGAAAGGUUGUAACUAGUAAGGAGUUGUUUGGAUUUUUAUUUUGUAAGUAAUACUAUGUUUUUUUGGUACAGUGUAACCUUAUACAUGAUGAUUAAAGCUUUAUCACA